CAUGUAGAGAUUGCUGUUGGUCUGUGCAUUAUACUCCUUAACCUUGUGUUGAAUCUCACCAGCAGUCAGCUUCUGUUUACCCCAGUCGAUGUGUUCAUCCUGAAAAGGGGGGAGAGGAGAGAGUUCAGCAGAUGGGUCACACGCUGUCAGCAGAAAGCUCGUCCUCACAAGUGACAGGGAGCAAAUCAACGCAGACAAAAGUCAAACGAAUUCAAGCUCUGUGUCUGUAGCGAGAGAAAGACGUGAUUUAAUUCAGUCGACCAAACAGAAAGUAGAAAACAGCUGUGUGCCUAUAGGACUGAUGAACUCCAAAUCCUCACCGCUGAUCCUCUGACCUCGCGGAAGAAAGACGUGUGUGCGGUGAAAUACACCUCCAGCUCCGAGCCAGUGCUGCUCUCCUCACUUGCUGUUCUUCCCCAGGUCAUCUCCGAGCUUCAGGGAUGCCUUGACAGUGAGGAGGCGAUAAAACCAGUGUCUCUGAGGACAUGUGGCACACGGAUGAACAGCAGUGGACAAUCUGUUAGCCUCCAUCUGCUUUGACCUACCCACCUACACUGUUAAAUAAAAAAAAGUAAUAACACAAUCCCAUGAAGGCUGCGUCCUGUAUGUUCCACGUGUGAUUGUGUCUUUGUUUCUCACCACGUUUGUGUCCGUCUCGAUGGAGUCGACAGAGAAAUCUUCCUGGUCUGU
Acanthopagrus latus (yellowfin seabream) is the source of this 690-nucleotide long non-coding RNA. RefSeq lists it as uncharacterized. The record is from RefSeq and is a predicted model, not a curated record. NCBI's taxonomy places the organism in Eukaryota, Metazoa, Chordata, Actinopteri, Spariformes, Sparidae. The transcript is spliced from 2 exons.